UAGAAAUAGGCUAUAUGUGCAUCCUAGCAUACAUUACGUAAGUAAACAUCUUUUACUCAUCUUUAUGUCCAAUACUAUAGCUAUAGUUAUUUUGUUCCUUUUUAACUAAGGUUGCUUUUACUUAGAUAUCUUUGGGAUGAAUGUGAUUGUGGAAGCAAGUUUUUUUGUUAUGACCAAGCAAAAAUAACAUCACAUAUCAAGGAUCGUGAUCUCCGAUCCAGAAAUUUUGCCAACCAGUUAGAAGCGGCUACCUUGGAACAAAUAGUUCUAAUUCCGUAUAAUACUGGUUUUCAUUGGAUGUUGCAUGUCAUCGAUCUUCGAGAGAACUGUGUUUAUGUUUUGGACUCUCUUCAAAGUAAAGUUAACGAAGACAUCCAUGGAGUCAUAAAUGUGACUUAUGAUUUACUUCUUAUUUGACUUCAUUGUCUUCUAAUUCUAAUGUUUCCAAAUGUAUAGAGGAUUAAAAACAUGGCAAGCUAAGCAUGAUUUACAACAUUAUCGGUCAAAUCCGAAAUGGAAACCUAUAAAGUGUCCUCGUCAAUUGGAUUCGGUUGGGUGUGGGUAUUAUGUCCAAAAGUAUAUACAUGAAAUCGUGCAUAAUUCUAGUACUCCCAUCACUAGCCUUGUAAGUUUCUACUUUCACUUUUUAUAUGUUACAAAUUACAUAAAUUAUCUAAACUUAUUCUUUCCAUACCUUU
Cucumis sativus (cucumber) is the source of this 698-nucleotide long non-coding RNA. RefSeq lists it as uncharacterized. Lineage: Eukaryota; Viridiplantae; Streptophyta; Magnoliopsida; Cucurbitales; Cucurbitaceae. The transcript is spliced from 3 exons. The record is from RefSeq and is a predicted model, not a curated record.